This 467-nucleotide ribosomal RNA is filed under the name uncultured bacterium. Its description in RNAcentral is "partial 16S ribosomal RNA". It matches the Rfam family "Bacterial small subunit ribosomal RNA", at positions 28 to 507 of the family's 1533-position model. The record is from RNAcentral.
GACGAACGCUGGCGGCGUGCUUAACACAUGCAAGUCGAACGGAAAGGCCCUGCUUUUGUGGGGUGCUCGAGUGGCGAACGGGUGAGUAACACGUGAGUAACCUGCCCUUGACUUUGGGAUAAUUCAGGGAAAUGGGGGUUAUUACGGGAAAGAGGUCCUUGUGGCUGGGUGGGGGUGGGAAGGUUCGGCGGUUGGGGGUGGACUCGCGGCUUAUCAGCUUGUUGGUGGGGUAGUGGCUUACCAAGGCUUUGACGGGUAGCCGGCCUGAGAGGGUGACCGGCCACAUUGGGACUGAGAUACGGCCCAGACUCCUACGGGAGGCAGCAGUGGGGAAUAUUGCACAAUGGGCGGAAGCCUGAUGCAGCAACGCCGCGUGCGGGAUGACGGCCUUCGGGUUGUAAACCGCUUUCGCCUGUGACGAAGCGUGAGUGACGGUAAUGGGUAAAGAAGCACCGGCUAACUACGUG